CCUACGGGUGGCAGCAGUGAGGAAUAUUGGACAAUGGGCGGGAGCCUGAACCAGCCAAGCCGCGUGAGGGAAGAAGGUCCAGCGUAUCGUAAACCUCUUCUGUCAGGGAACAAAGGCGGGGACUAGUCCCCGGAUGAGGGUACCUGAAGAAAAAGCAUCGGCUAACUCCGUGCCAGCAGCCCCGGUAAGAGGGGGGAUGCGAGGGUUACACGGAUUUAUGGGGUUUAAAGGGUGCGCGGGGGGCCUGUUAAGUCAGCGGGAAAAGCCCGGGGCUCAACCCCGGCGAGCCGGUGAAACUGGCGGGCUGGAGUUGGAGAGAAGUGCGCGGAAUGCGCGGUGUAGCGGUGAAAUGCGUAGAUAUCGCGCAGAACCCCGAUUGCGAAGGCAGCGUACCGGCUGCACACUGACGCUGAGGCACGAAAGCGUGGGUAUCGAACAGGAUUAGAUACCCCGGUAGUC
This 459-nucleotide ribosomal RNA is filed under the name uncultured bacterium. Its description in RNAcentral is "partial 16S ribosomal RNA". It matches the Rfam family "Bacterial small subunit ribosomal RNA", at positions 338 to 795 of the family's 1533-position model. The record is from RNAcentral.